GAUGAACGCUAGCGGCAGGCCUAAUACAUGCAAGUCGGACGGGAUUGGAGAGCUUGCUUUCCAUGAGAGUGGCGCACGGGUGCGUAACACGUAUGUAACCUACCUUGUUCAGGGGGAUAGCCUCUCGAAAGAGAGAUUAAGACCGCAUAACAUCACGCUAUAGCAUUAUAAUGUGAUCAAAUAUUUAUAGGAACAAGAUGGGCAUGCGGAACAUUAGCUAGUUGGUAAGGUAAUGGCUUACCAAGGCUACGAUGUUUAGGGGAUCUGAGAGGA
RNAcentral lists this ribosomal RNA (273 nucleotides) under uncultured bacterium. RNAcentral's name for it is "partial 16S ribosomal RNA". It matches the Rfam family "Bacterial small subunit ribosomal RNA", at positions 28 to 300 of the family's 1533-position model. The record is from RNAcentral.